This 1019-nucleotide ribosomal RNA is filed under the name Microbacterium terrae. RNAcentral's name for it is "bacterial SSU rRNA". It matches the Rfam family "Bacterial small subunit ribosomal RNA", at positions 26 to 1058 of the family's 1533-position model. Lineage: Bacteria; Bacillati; Actinomycetota; Actinomycetes; Micrococcales; Microbacteriaceae. The record is from RNAcentral.
AGGAUGAACGCUGGCGGCGUGCUUAACACAUGCAAGUCGAACGGUGAAGCCCAGCUUGCUGGGUGGAUCAGUGGCGAACGGGUGAGUAACACGUGAGCAACCUGCCCCUGACUCUGGGAUAAGCGCUGGAAACGGUGUCUAAUACUGGAUAUGAGCUACCACCGCAUGGUGAGUGGUUGGAAAGAUUUUUCGGUUGGGGAUGGGCUCGCGGCCUAUCAGCUUGUUGGUGAGGUAAUGGCUCACCAAGGCGUCGACGGGUAGCCGGCCUGAGAGGGUGACCGGCCACACUGGGACUGAGACACGGCCCAGACUCUACGGGAGGCAGCAGUGGGGAAUAUUGCACAAUGGGCGGAAGCCUGAUGCAGCAACGCCGCGUGAGGGACGACGGCUUCGGGUUGUAAACCUCUUUUAGCAGGGAAGAAGCGAGAGUGACGGUACCUGCAGAAAAAGCGCCGGCUAACUACGUGCCAGCAGCCGCGGUAAUACGUAGGGCGCAAGCGUUAUCCGGAAUUAUUGGGCGUAAAGAGCUCGUAGGCGGUUUGUCGCGUCUGCUGUGAAAACCCGAGGCUCAACCUNNGGGCUGCAGUGGGUACGGGCAGACUAGAGUGCGGUAGGGGAGAUUGGAAUUCCUGGUGUAGCGGUGGAAUGCGCAGAUAUCAGGAGGAACACCGAUGGCGAAGGCAGAUCUCUGGGCCGUAACUGACGCUGAGGAGCGAAAGGGUGGGGAGCAAACAGGCUUAGAUACCCUGGUAGUCCACCCCGUAAACGUUGGGAACUAGUUGUGGGGUCCUUUCCACGGAUUCCGUGACGCACGUAACGCAUUAAGUUCCCCGCCUGGGGAGUACGGCCGCAAGGCUAAAACUCAAAGGAAUUGACGGGGACCCGCACAAGCGGCGGAGCAUGCGGAUUAAAUCGAUGCAACGCGAAGAACCUUACCAAGGCUUGACAUACACGAGAACGCUGCAGAAAUGUAGAACUCUUUGGACACUCGUGAACAGGUGGUGCAUGGUUGUCGUCAG